RNAcentral lists this long non-coding RNA (359 nucleotides) under Homo sapiens (human). Its description in RNAcentral is "HSALNT0389741". Lineage: Eukaryota; Metazoa; Chordata; Mammalia; Primates; Hominidae. The record is from RNAcentral.
GUGUGACUUUUUCAGAAGGUGAGUUACGCGUUCCGGGCAGUCAGUGCACUGCUCAGCAGGAGGAGGUCCUGCAGGUGGUGCUGCAAGGGGUCGGCUGGCCGCAGGGGGGCCGGCAGCAGGGGGACUGCACAGACACAGGCUGGCAGCAGGUGGUGGCUCAGCAGGAGGAGGUCCUGCAGGUGGUGCUGCAAGGGGUCGGCUGGCCGCAGGGAGGCCGGCAGCAGGGGGACUGCACAGACACAGGCUGGCAGCAGGUGGUGCUGCAAGGGGUCGGCUGGCCGCAGGGGGGCCGGCAGCAGGGGGACUGCACAGACACAGGCUGGCAGCAGGUGGUGGCCCAGCAGCAGGGCCUGCACACC